CCCAACUGGGUUGGGUAACGGCGUGGAGAGGCUGUGGGGCACAGCCAGGGCUUUAACAGGGCUGGGAAAGCGGAGAACGACUGGGGAGCUACAGCGAUAGCGGAAUGGCGCUGAGGCGGUGUUCGUGCGUCUGGGAACACGGGCCCUGGAGCUGCGGGCACCGGAGGCAUCCGAAGGGAAGUUGCGCUCUGCCAGUGCUGUCUCCAAAGGCUCCGGAAUGGCUCCGGUUAAAAUCAGCUGUGUGCUGUCCUUCUCCCAGGUGCCUGGGGGCUCCCUCUGGGGGGCUGGGUGUGGGGCUGAUCCCUCUGAGCUGUUGGGGUCUUGGAAGAGGUGGGUCAGGCCAUGACAGGGUGCAGUACUACCUCACCUUGUUAAGCAGAAGGGCAAGGAUUCACAUCAUUCUUGCUCUCUCAAAAUGGAAUGUUGUUCCUGUAGGUUACCAGAGAAUUCCAUGCUUCUCCCCAUGUCCAGAACAAGCUAGAGCUGGAGGGGAGGGUGUUUAGGGAGGGGUUGGUUGGUACCUGAUGCUGUGUCCCUGGUGUGUGUGCAGGACCCCAAGUACCCCAAGGCAGAGAACCUGCUGAGUGAGGACAGCGUACAGCCCUGGCUUGGCUGCCCCAAGGGUCACAGCAGGCAGCUGAGAGUGGGGCUGUGACUGGAGAGAGCCAGUCCCAUUGGCUGUGUUGAUGUUGACACCUCCCUGUUCCCCACUCCCGUGCAGGAGCCAGGGCCAUGCCCCACAGUGGGGUCAGCAGCUCUGAGCCCCUUGCCCCUGUCCUUCUCGCUGCUCCCCAGGGAACUACAGCUGUGCCUUUCUGCAGGCUGAGGUGGGAUGCUCCUCGUGGCCCUGUGACCAGCCCUGUCACACCUUGGUGCCCACUGAUGACACCAGCUGACUCAAAGCUGGACCAGAAUCGCUGCAGGGUUCAGAUGUUUUAGGAAGGAGAUCCAGGGAGGAGAACCAAGUGAGGAGCCGCCUGUGGAAGCUGGAUGGGGCUGCCUGGAGCCCAGCCCACCUCAGCCACUCUGCCUGGAUGGAGCUGUUGAGAGCACAGAACCAGAACCAGGCCCUGAGGCCCAGAGCUGGCACGAGCACCGUGGGGCAUCACCUGGAGCUGCUGGCCAAGGAUGUGGGAGGUCCUGCAGUGCCAGGUGAGAGCCCACCUGCAGAGCUGCUCCAGCUCUGGGACCCCCAACAUCAGAAGAGUGUGGAGCAACGGGUAUGAGUCCAGAG
Melozone crissalis (California towhee) is the source of this 1234-nucleotide long non-coding RNA. RefSeq lists it as uncharacterized. Lineage: Eukaryota; Metazoa; Chordata; Aves; Passeriformes; Passerellidae. The transcript has 4 exons. The record is from RefSeq and is a predicted model, not a curated record.